CCUGAAAGUUGACCAAACAGUAUGAGUAUGUCAAAAUGUCAGGUGAUUCGGCAUGUGCACACAAAGCCCACAAUAGCUGCGCGCUAGCUAGGUCAACUGGCUCCUCCUGUUUGUUAUCUCUUUAAUGACACUAAACUCGAUACACUGGUGUUGGCCACAAAAUGUCAUCUGACACUUGACUGUCACAGCGGAGGACACAGUACACCUCGCAACAAGGUUCUACAGAACAGUCAGGCAAUUUGGACUUGAAGCGAGUGUGCCGUCCGUCCGUCACCUGUCGUGGUUGGGUCCCACCAGGGGGUUGACUCCGGCGAAUCCCGGGAUGUUGAUGUGGUCUUUGAUGAUCAUGACAUCGCCCACCUUGUAGUCCCGGUUGAGGCCGCCAGCCGCGUUGGUCAGGAUCACUGUCUCCACACCCAUCAGCUUGAAGACGCGCAUGGGCAGCGCCACCUGCGGGGAGGGAGGAGGAGGGUGACCCGCUUUGCCCUUGCUGCCAUGGCACAUUCUGAUACGACUUUUUUUCCCAAAUGUCAAUCACAAUAUCAUUCAAGUAUGUCCUUAAUAUGAUUCCAAUCUGACGUAUUAAGACUUAAUUGAAUUUGAAAAAAAAUUGAAGCCUGCGACGGUUGGGAGAUACAUCUAAAAGAAGUGGUUCAAUAAAUUAAAAAAAAAAAAAACUAAAAAAAGUGGUUAAAUAAAAAAAAAACCUC
Molecule: long non-coding RNA, 710 nt
Organism: Syngnathus acus (greater pipefish)
Lineage: Eukaryota; Metazoa; Chordata; Actinopteri; Syngnathiformes; Syngnathidae
Exons: 2
Source: RefSeq, a predicted model, not a curated record